This is a small nuclear RNA of Myotis myotis, 107 nucleotides long. NCBI's taxonomy places the organism in Eukaryota, Metazoa, Chordata, Mammalia, Chiroptera, Vespertilionidae. The record is from RefSeq and is a predicted model, not a curated record.
GUGCUCACUUCGGCUGCACAUAAACUAAAAUUGCAUCGAUAGACAGAAGAUUAGCAUGGGAUCGGCACAUGGAUGACACGCAAAUUCAUGAAAAGUUGCAUAUUUUU